UACGGAGGGGGCUAGCGUUAUUCGGAAUUACUGGGCGUAAAGGGCGCGUAGGCGGCCCGGUAAGUCAAAGGUGAAAUCCCUCGGCUCAACUGAGGAACUGCGUUUGAAACUGGCGGGCUUGAGUCCGGGAGGGGGUAGCGGAAUUCCAGGUGUAGCGGUGAAAUGCGUAGAUAUCGGGAGGAACACCGGUGGCGAAGGCGGCUACCUGGACCGGUUCUGACGCUGAGGCGCGAAAGCCUGGGUAGCAAAC
RNAcentral lists this ribosomal RNA (250 nucleotides) under uncultured Holophagae bacterium. RNAcentral's name for it is "partial 16S ribosomal RNA". It matches the Rfam family "Bacterial small subunit ribosomal RNA", at positions 524 to 773 of the family's 1533-position model. The record is from RNAcentral. Lineage: Bacteria; Pseudomonadati; Acidobacteriota; Holophagae.